Molecule: ribosomal RNA, 60 nt
Filed under: Ficus religiosa (bo tree)
Lineage: Eukaryota; Viridiplantae; Streptophyta; Magnoliopsida; Rosales; Moraceae
Also listed under: 2 other names
Description: partial 18S ribosomal RNA
Rfam family: Eukaryotic small subunit ribosomal RNA
Source: RNAcentral
GAAAGUAAAAAAGUCGUAACAAGGUUUCCGUAGGUGAACCUGCGGAAGGAUCAUUGUCGA